CUUAACUGAGAGAGGUCGUUGGAAACUGCAGGGCUUGAGGCAAUGAGAGGGGUGCGGAAUUCCCGGUGUAGUGGUGGAAUGCGUAGAUAUCGGGAGGAACACCAGUGGCGAAAGCGGCACCCUGGCAUUGACCUGACGCUCAUGUGCGAAAGCGUGGGGAGCGAACGGGAUUAGAUACCCCGGUAGUCCACGCUGUAAACGAUGAGUACUAGGUGUAGGUGGUGUAAAAACCGUCUGUGCCGAAGCAAACGCGCUAAGUACUCCGCCUGGGGAGCACGGCCGCAAGGCUAAAACUCAAAGGAAUUGACGGGGGCCCGCACAAGCAGCGGAGCGUGUGGUUUAAUUCGAUGCAACACGAAGAACCUUACCUGGGCUUGACAUGUACGUAGUAGUGAAGCGAAAGCGGAACGACCCUUCGGGGAGCG
RNAcentral lists this ribosomal RNA (425 nucleotides) under uncultured bacterium. RNAcentral's name for it is "bacterial SSU rRNA". It matches the Rfam family "Bacterial small subunit ribosomal RNA", at positions 608 to 1029 of the family's 1533-position model. The record is from RNAcentral.